GGAGAGCCUGGACCACAGCACCAAUGGUUUGGACCAUCACUCUGCACAUGGACCAGAAAACCGAUAGUGUGUACAUCUGGGACCGUAGAGGCCAUUGUGCCAAGGACAUGGGGCAUGCCUUCUGAGAAUGAAGCCAACACAGAGGAUGACAGAGACCAGACAUGGCCAGAGACAAAUUCCUGAUUAUAUCAUGAACACCUGGAUCCAUCCAUGCUUGAAGGCUGCAAGUAUGGCUUAGUACAGCAGAUGGAUGCAGGACCUGUAAGAAG
Eubalaena glacialis (North Atlantic right whale) is the source of this 269-nucleotide long non-coding RNA. RefSeq lists it as uncharacterized. Lineage: Eukaryota; Metazoa; Chordata; Mammalia; Artiodactyla; Balaenidae. The transcript is spliced from 3 exons. The record is from RefSeq and is a predicted model, not a curated record.